Molecule: ribosomal RNA, 253 nt
Filed under: uncultured bacterium
Lineage: Bacteria
Description: partial 16S ribosomal RNA
Rfam family: Bacterial small subunit ribosomal RNA
Source: RNAcentral
UACGAAGGGGGCUAGCGUUGCUCGGAAUCACUGGGCGUAAAGCGCACGUAGGCGGCUUUCUAAGUCAGGGGUGAAAUCCUGGAGCUCAACUCCAGAACUGCCUUUGAUACUGGGGAGCUCGAGUCCGGAAGAGGGGAGUGGAACUCCGAGUGUAGAGGUGAAAUUCGUAGAUAUUCGGAAGAACACCAGUGGCGAAGGCGGCUCACUGGUCCGGUACUGACGCUGAGGUGCGAAAGCGUGGGGAGCAAACAGG